Molecule: unclassified non-coding RNA, 338 nt
Filed under: Hevea brasiliensis (rubber tree)
Lineage: Eukaryota; Viridiplantae; Streptophyta; Magnoliopsida; Malpighiales; Euphorbiaceae
Source: RNAcentral
UCAGCAACCCACCUGCCUGAAGGUCUUUGCCUGACACCAACAAAUCGCUUCCUAGCUCUCCUGACUCCUCCUAGUGCAGCAGCCUCAGCAGCUUCCUUGACCAUUUCAUCCCAAGCCAUGGUUCCUUCACUAGAGUUUUUGUCUUCCACAAUUUCACUAACCUUUCUCUUCCUACCCAUAUCUUCCUUUCAAGUUAUUUAGUGUUGUCUUUUGGGUUACAAGAUUCGUAAGGAAAUAAUAAUAGUUGGUGGUUUAGUUGUUAUGGUUGGCCUGGACUCUGGUAUAUUUAUAUGAAGGGAAUAGAGAUCCUGCCAAACGAGAAAGGAGAGGUGAAAGAG